CGGCGAGCGCAGCGUCCGCCUGGAGAAGAUGGGGACGGUCCACCGGCUGACACUGCGGCAAACCGCGGCCCACAUGAGCGGCCUGGUGGAGUUCACAUCCGGGAGAGCCAGAAGUCAAGCUCAGCUCCGAGUCGCAGGAAAUCCCUGAAAGAAACUCCAAACCUGCAGUCGUCUGACGCUUCAAUAUGUAUAAAUAUUUUAUUUAGUCUCUUUGAAAGCAGCUUAAACUACCUUACUGUCUCCUGAAACGUAUUUUAAUUCAAACUGUAUCUUCUGUUGUGUUGUAAAUAAUGUUGAAGUGAUUUGACUGGACCUGGUUUGUUAAAGCUGUUACUGUCAAUAAACAGCGAGAUGAUUCAGAAACUAUUUACAGUUUGGUUCUAGCGAUCCUGUUCGGGUGUGUUCAAGUUUUAAAAUCUACACAGUGAAUCCCUGAAAACAGAAUUUGAAAUAAAAAUAAAGUUGUUUUUUUUCUUAACUCCACCAGACAGAGAAUUGGAAACAAAUUAACCUGCACAAGUUAAGAAAAUAAUUAUAAAGAGUCAAGUUAACAGCUACUGAGCAUCAAGCUAACAGGAGAUCAGUGUGUAGCUAACAUCUGAGUGCUAAGCUAACAGUUACUGAAUGUAAAGCUAACAGGUACUCAGCAUGAAGCUAACAGAUUUUUAUUUUGUCGGAAUGGUGGAGAGGGAAGAGGAGCAAAAAUAUAAAGCUUAAAAUGGUUGUUUUGUUUAUUAUGCAGUGUCAAAAUGAAUGAAAAACAGAAACUGAAGAAAUAAAGUUAGUUCUAUCUUUUAUGAAUUUGGUGAUGCAGAUGAGCAAUCUACUGAUUAGAUGGAUGGAUAACUUCCUGUAUGGCUAACUGCUAAUGUGGCUAUGCUAAAGCCAUUGCUCAUAUAGGAACCUAUCCAUUGUUUAGCUGUCAAAAUGACAAAAAGUAAACAUUGCAAUAAUGAUAUGAAAAUAUAUUCAGUAUAGAUUCCAUUUUAAAAAUACUUUUUAAAUCAUUUAAUAUGUUAUAAGUUGUUACAUUUUCUUGGACAAAUAUUCUCAGUUAACUUUUCAAACCCGUUUUGUGUUCAUUAGCAGAACUCUAAUUUGUUUAAGCCAGUUCCUGUACAUAUAUCAAAGGAAGUUCCUAAAUAGUUAAAAAAAAAAGUAUUUUAACAACAAAAAGCAGUACAACUAAAGACAUUUUCACAAACUCUGAUUCUAGACUGAGUCACAGUUAAUCAGAUAAAUCAUCAUGAUUUAUCUGAUUAACACCAGAUCAUGUAACACCAUCAUCUUCUUUCAUACAAUAGCUUAGAAUCAAGUUUAGUUAAACAGCAGCAUGUGUGAAGUUGUCAGUAUCUUACCUGCUGCAGACAGUAGUGGAGAAUCAUUGAGAAAUGAGAAUGCUAACAGCUAUUCAAGCCUAAAGCUAUUCAAACUGAUAGCUAAUCAGAGCCAAGCCAAAGGCUACCAAAACAAGCUAGCAACUUCACAAAGUAAAGCUGACAGCUCAAGAGUAACGUUAACAUCUACUUAGCUAAUAAAUAUUCAAAACAAAGUAAAAUAACAUUUAGCUUGGGUAGCUGUUAGUUUAUGCUAACAGCUACUCAAAGUGGCUACAAAAGGUAACCAAAUGCUGCUCAGAGUAAAGCUAUUGUCUCAGUACAACAAUAACAGCUAUUAAUGCUAAAUGCUACUCAGACUGAAGCUAACAACAGCUUAGUCAAGCUAACCAGCUAUGCAAAGGAAAUCUGACAUCUACUAGUAAUGAAGCUAACACCUUAUUUAUAGGAAUAGCUGCAUAAAAGAAAGCUAACGGCUACUCAAAGUAACAUUUACCGUAAUUUCCGGACUAUAGAGCGCACCUGAUUAUAAGCCGCACCCCCUACAUUUUUAAAGGAAACACAUUUUUGUACAUACAUAAGCCACACCGGUGUAUAAGCCGCAUGUUCCUACAUUGAAACAUGAGAUAUUUACAAAGAAAUAUCUCAUAUCUCAGAAGGUGUUUUAAAAGUUUUAAUAAUAUGCCAUAGCUUUUCUUUCUGAACAGCAGCAAUAUAGCAAAACAACACUAACAGGGCUGGUUUAAAUAACAUACGGUUAAAAGUCACGGAGAGCCGUCAUCCUCUUCCUCCUGUGCACUGAAACCAUGGAAGUCUUCUUCCUCAGUGUCUGUUUCCUUCUUUAUCGGCUCGAUUGAUUUUAACUUGAAAGCUGCAUCAUAUGCAUCUCUUCUUGCAUUCUCCAUGAUGAGGGUCUGUUCAAGCUACUUUUAUUCAUGCACAAAGCACGAUGUUACAUUAGUCUUCCUCUACAGAUAUAUUCCAGUUGUCUCACACUUACCUUUUCUGCUCCAGCGCCCCUACUGGCCGUUAGAAAAAAUGUAUAAAUAAGCCGCAUCGUUGUAUAAGCCGCAGGGUCGAAAGCGUGAGACAAAAGUCGCGGCUUAUAGUCCGGAAAUUACGGUAAUACUAAUGCUAUAGCUAGCUUUGAGUGCACCACAUUUAGCCACCAUAGCAUGUUUAUCAGUUAUAGUUCAUGCAAUUUUAUGCCAAUUUAUUUAUAGUUUCUAUGUCAAAGUGUUUGCUUUAUCCUUUUACACGUGUUGCGUGUCGUUUUAUGAACAUAAUUUGUGCAUUGAAGUCACUGAUAAACCUUGAUGUUGAGAUAAAUUGGUUGAAGUUACAGCACCCAGAAUAAAGCUAACAAUUUAAGCUAACAUGUCCUCAAAAACAUAACAGCUACUCAAAGUAGUCAUCUACCAAUGUAAUUAUAAGCUCUUAGCUUGACUCCAACAUGAGAACGUAAUUCUGCAUCUCCAAACAUUUAGAAAUAAUGACUUCUGUCCACUGCAGACGAUACUGACUGUUCACUGCUACGUUUUAUAGCCUAGCUUAAAUAAAGCUAAUCUGUCACCUUAAAGAUAAAUUUUUGCUACAAUAAAUGGCUGAGUUAUUAUUAAAGAAUCUUCUUUCCUGGGUUAAAGUAAAGUAGGGAUUUAGUGGAGUAAUUUUCUGAAGCACAUGUAUUGAACAGGCAAUUUACACAGUUUUUAGCAUAAUGAGCAUUUUUUAUUUUGAAGCAUAGCAUAUUUUGUGCAAAUCUUCAAACAUCAGGAAAGAUUAGUGUUUCUAUUUACAAAAGUAACGAUCAACAUUUGUAUUCAGGUGUAUUGAAUGUUUAAGGUUAUAUUUUACCCCAGUUAUUUUUAUGUAAGGCGAUGACGUCGAUGCCUUAUUUUCUGUGUGAUGGUGGUAAUAAUCCUGUUGUACAAAUGCUACAUUAUACUGACAUUAAAAUGAGUAAUGGUGGCUCAUUUGUCCAGGACUAUUUGUAGAAGACUGCGCAACUGUUCACACAAUCUAGUUACAAAGGUCACAGCUGUCAUGUAACACACACACACACACACCAACACACACACUCUGUUCUCCAGUUAUCUACAGAGGCUAUGGUAAGUCCAUGAAGCAUUCCGAUGAUAACUGGUGGAUUUAUCCAACACGCUGUGAGAUUAUGAGAUUAAAUGCAAGUUGUUGUUUUUUUUUUUAAAGCGUGGUCCUUGUAGUGGGAAGCCCGAUGGAGCCUGCGGCUCGCCAGCCUCCGUGGCCCCAAAUCGACAGUCGCUGGUGACUCUUUGUACCCGAACAUCCGUUAACUCGAAGUCUUCUGCUUCCUCAGAAUGUCGUAGAUGUCGUCCA
Gambusia affinis (western mosquitofish) is the source of this 3689-nucleotide long non-coding RNA. RefSeq lists it as uncharacterized. The record is from RefSeq and is a predicted model, not a curated record. The transcript has 2 exons. NCBI's taxonomy places the organism in Eukaryota, Metazoa, Chordata, Actinopteri, Cyprinodontiformes, Poeciliidae.